This 493-nucleotide ribosomal RNA is filed under the name Cyphocharax sanctigabrielis. RNAcentral's name for it is "partial 16S ribosomal RNA". It matches the Rfam family "Bacterial large subunit ribosomal RNA", at positions 1812 to 2604 of the family's 2925-position model. Lineage: Eukaryota; Metazoa; Chordata; Actinopteri; Characiformes; Curimatidae. The record is from RNAcentral.
AACAUCGCCUCCUGCAAAAAUCAACGUAUAGGAGGUCCUGCCUGCCCAGUGACAACUUGUUAAACGGCCGCGGUAUUUUGACCGUGCUAAGGUAGCGCAAUCACUUGUCUUUUAAAUGAAGACCUGUAUGAAUGGUGGAACGAGGGCUUAACUGUCUCCCUUCUCCCGUCAAUGAAAUUGAUCUGCCCGUGCAGAAGCGGACAUACAUAUACAAGACGAGAAGACCCUUUGGAGCUUAUUGGGGCGACCGCGGGGGAAAAUAAAGCCCCCACGUAAAACCGAGAGAGACAUCUCUAAGCCACAGAACAUCUGACCAAAAGAUCCGGCCCACAAGCCGAUCAACGAACCAAGUUACCCUAGGGAUAACAGCGCAAUCCUUUCCAAGAGUUCAUAUCGACGAAAGGGUUUACGACCUCGAUGUUGGAUCAGGACAUCCUAAUGGUGCAGCCGCUAUUAAGGGUUCGUUUGUUCAACGAUUAAAGUCCUACGUGAU